GAUGAACGCUGGCGGCGUGCCUAAUACAUGCAAGUCGAGCGAACAGACGAGGAGCUUGCUCCUCUGACGUUAGCGGCGGACGGGUGAGUAACACGUGGAUAACCUACCUAUAAGACUGGGAUAACCUCGGGAAACCGGAGCUAAUACCGGAUAAUAUAUUGAACCGCAUGGUUCAAUAGUGAAAGACGGUUUUGCUGUCACUUAUAGAUGGAUCCGCGCCGCAUUAGCUAGUUGGUAAGGUAACGGCUUACCAAGGCAACGAUGCGUAGCCGACCUGAGAGGGUGAUCGGCCACACUGGAACUGAGACACGGUCCAGACUCCUACGGGAGGCAGCAGUAGGGAAUCUUCCGCAAUGGGCGAAAGCCUGACGGAGCAACGCCGCGUGAGUGAUGAAGGUCUUCGGAUCGUAAAACUCUGUUAUUAGGGAAGAACAAAUGUGUAAGUAACUAUGCACGUCUUGACGGUACCUAAUCAGAAAGCCACAGCUAACUACGUG
RNAcentral lists this ribosomal RNA (497 nucleotides) under uncultured bacterium. RNAcentral's name for it is "partial 16S ribosomal RNA". It matches the Rfam family "Bacterial small subunit ribosomal RNA", at positions 28 to 507 of the family's 1533-position model. The record is from RNAcentral.